Molecule: ribosomal RNA, 557 nt
Filed under: Escherichia coli
Lineage: Bacteria; Pseudomonadati; Pseudomonadota; Gammaproteobacteria; Enterobacterales; Enterobacteriaceae
Description: bacterial SSU rRNA
Rfam family: Bacterial small subunit ribosomal RNA
Source: RNAcentral
UGGCGGCAGGCCUAACACAUGCAAGUCGAACGGUAACAGGAAGCAGCUUGCUGCUUUGCUGACGAGUGGCGGACGGGUGAGUAAUGUCUGGGAAACUGCCCGAUGGAGGGGGAUAACUACUGGAAACGGUAGCUAAUACCGCAUAACGUCGCAAGACCAAAGAGGGGGACCUUAGGGCCUCUUGCCAUCGGAUGUGCCCAGAUGGGAUUAGCUAGUAGGUGGGGUAACGGCUCACCUAGGCGACGAUCCCUAGCUGGUCUGAGAGGAUGACCAGCCACACUGGAACUGAGACACGGUCCAGACUCCUACGGGAGGCAGCAGUGGGGAAUAUUGCACAAUGGGCGCAAGCCUGAUGCAGCCAUGCCGCGUGUAUGAAGAAGGCCUUCGGGUUGUAAAGUACUUUCAGCGGGGAGGAAGGGAGUAAAGUUAAUACCUUUGCUCAUUGACGUUACCCGCAGAAGAAGCACCGGCUAACUCCGUGCCAGCAGCCGCGGUAAUACGGAGGGUGCAAGCGUUAAUCGGAAUUACUGGGCGUAAAGCGCACGCAGGCGGUUUGU